RNAcentral lists this unclassified non-coding RNA (198 nucleotides) under soil metagenome. RNAcentral describes it as "partial internal transcribed spacer 1". The record is from RNAcentral.
CCGAGUUUACAACUCCCAAACCCAAUGUGAACGUUACCAAACUGUUGCCUCGGCGGGAUCUCUGCCCCGGGUGCGUCGCAGCCCCGGACCAAGGCGCCCGCCGGAGGACCAACCAAAACUCUUAUUGUAUACCCCCUCGCGGUUUUUUACUAUCUGAGCCAUCUCGGCGCCCCUCGUGGGCGUUUCGAAAAUGAAUCA